AGGGAUGAAGCUUCAAUAUAGCAAUUAGCUGUUACCUAAUAGAAAGUGCUCGUUACACCUUCCCUA
This 66-nucleotide transfer RNA is filed under the name Lamellidens marginalis. RNAcentral describes it as "tRNA-Asn". The record is from RNAcentral. Lineage: Eukaryota; Metazoa; Mollusca; Bivalvia; Unionida; Unionidae.